UGACCCUUCUUAAGCCGAGGGUCACCUAGCCAACUGACGUUGUUAGUGAACCUAAUUUGUUCACACUAUAUAUGGCCAAUCCCGACUCUUGGGCUUGGCCUUUUCUUU
Molecule: small RNA, 108 nt
Filed under: Vibrio caribbeanicus ATCC BAA-2122
Lineage: Bacteria; Pseudomonadati; Pseudomonadota; Gammaproteobacteria; Vibrionales; Vibrionaceae
Description: Vibrio caribbenthicus ATCC BAA-2122 Qrr RNA
Rfam family: Qrr RNA
About the family: This family represents a set of small RNAs (the Qrr RNAs) that are thought to be involved in the regulation of quorum sensing in Vibrio species. It is believed that these RNAs, guided by a protein, Hfq, can mediate the destabilisation of the quorum-sensing master regulators LuxR/HapR mRNAs.
Source: Rfam by way of RNAcentral